RNAcentral lists this ribosomal RNA (503 nucleotides) under uncultured bacterium. Its description in RNAcentral is "partial 16S ribosomal RNA". It matches the Rfam family "Bacterial small subunit ribosomal RNA", at positions 28 to 523 of the family's 1533-position model. The record is from RNAcentral.
GAUGAACGCUAGCGACAGGCUUAACACAUGCAAGUAGAGAGGCAGCAUAGAAGUAGCAAUACUUUGGUGGCGACCGGCGCACGGGUGAGUAACGCGUAUGAAACCUACCUAUCAGAGGUGAAAAACACGGCGAAAGUAGGACUAAUACCGCAUAAAACAGGAGCACCGCAGGGUGAUAUUAGUUAAAGUAAUUAGCCGAUAGAGGGGCAUGCGUUCCAUUAUGUAGUUGGUCAGGUAACGGCUCACCAAGCCGACGAUGGAUAGGGGGACUGAGGAGUUGGACCCCCACUCUGGUACUGAGACACGGACCAGACUCCUACGGGAGGCAGCAGUGAGGAAUAUUGGUCAAUGGGCGGGAGCCUGAACCAGCCAAGUCGCGUGAAGGAAGAAGGAUAUAUGGUUCGUAAACUUCUUUUGCAGGGGAAUAAAGUGCAGGACGUGUCCUGUUUUGUAUGUACCCUGAGAAUAAGGAUCGUCUAACUCCGUGCCAGCCGCCGCCGUAA